RNAcentral lists this ribosomal RNA (430 nucleotides) under uncultured bacterium. RNAcentral's name for it is "partial 16S ribosomal RNA". It matches the Rfam family "Bacterial small subunit ribosomal RNA", at positions 29 to 507 of the family's 1533-position model. The record is from RNAcentral.
ACGAACGCUGGCGGCAGGCUUAACCCAUGCAAGUCGAGCGCCCCGCAAGGGGAGCGGCAGACGGGUGAGUAACGCGUGGGAACGUACCUUUUGGUUCGGAACAACUCCGGGAAACUGGAGCUAAUACCGGAUAAGCCCUAACGGGGAAAGAUUUAUCGCCGAAAGAUCGGCCCGCGUCUGAUUAGCUAGUUGGUGAGGUAACGGCUCACCAAGGCGACGAUCAGUAGCUGGUCUGAGAGGAUGAUCAGCCACACUGGGACUGAGACACGGCCCAGACUCCUACGGGAGGCAGCAGUGGGGAAUAUUGGACAAUGGGCGCAAGCCUGAUCCAGCCAUGCCGCGUGAGUGAUGAAGGCCUUAGGGUUGUAAAGCUCUUUUGUCCGGGAAGAUAAUGACUGUACCGGAAGAAUAAGCCCCGGCUAACUUCGUG